AUGUGGUGGAGGCUCCUCACACACAGACAGGUGGAUGAGGUCAUCCCUGCGUGGAUGUUCCAAGGACAACGGCUGGAUGUUCCAAGGCCAACGUCUGGCCAAUCAGAGGACGUCAGAGGACAUCCAGUAGCGCAGCAGCUUCAGCCCCAGCCCCAGCCCCGCACUGCACAGCCAAAGCUGACCACCUCUCCACUGGACAUCUUUACUGUGGACAGGAAUCGAAUGAACAAUAGAGCUAGAAAUUGUAAUCAAAAUACAAAUGACUUAUUAUUAGAAUCCAACAGGGGACCUUUUCGAGGUCACAGCAACAAUGAUUAUCUUAGCUCAGGGAUAAAGUAUCCUGGACAAGCCCCCAGUUGUAUUAGGUCCCUCUUUAAGAAUAAAAAAAAUACGAAAACACAACAACCAAAGAAACUAAAACUAAUUUGAAGUAGUUGUGAAUUAAGGGUAAUACAGGGUACCCCAAACUUACCUAGUCCUAAACCUCCUACCACAUACCUUUCCUUACAGAUUUUAACAAGUGUGCUUACACAGAAGGCAACAACAGUAGUCAAUGUUAGAGAGAGUGAACUUUCAGGCAGACUUCUUAUAUUGUGGGCUUGUAUGAUGAUUGACCAGCUUCAAACAUGUUGGAUCAAUGAGUCGCGAGGGAAGACUUGUUGUGGAAAUUUCUCUUCUGCUGAUGAAGAAUGAAAUAGAGAACUUCUGCCGGCCAACAAGGUUUUAUUUUCUUUGCAAAGAAAAGGUUAAUCAACACGCGAGCGGUCAAAGAUGAAGAAAGACCCCGAGCAUGGGGAGACCUAAACAUUUAUACCUGAGGAACACCUCUUUCACAUCCCUUUGUCUGCUGCAGGGGUCUGCCCCUGCAGGAAGUGUUUUCACACCCUUUUGUCUAUUGCAGGUAUCGGCGUUGACCCCCCGUUGGUGUGUUUCAUAUCUGAGGUAUCCUACAGGAUCUUGUAUUUAGGUGCAAAGUUGAGUCUAGACAUCACAAUUUGAAAAACACAAAAGGACCUGGUAUCUUGUGUUAGGAAGGGGGAGGUUGGGCAUCUGUAGUGGCUGAAACCAAAAAAUGUAUUUACCAUUACAGACCGCACAGCUGGAAAACAAUCAGUCUUGUUUGCCCCUGGAAGGAACGCAGGAGAAAACCCAACUGGCUCUGCUUGGAGAGACCUGAAAAUGGCUGUCCACCAACGUUCACCAUCCAACCUGACAGAACUGGAGAGGAUCUGCAAGGAAGAAUGGCAGAGGAUCCCCAAAUCCAGGUGUCAAAAACUUGUUGCAUCAUUCCCAAGAAGACUCAUGGCUGUACUAGCUCAAAAGGGUGCUUCUACUCAAUACUGAGCAAAUGGUCUGAAUACUUAUGACCAUGUGAUAUUUCAGUUUUUCUUUUUUAAUAAAUUUGCAAAAGUUUCUAUAUUUCUGUUUUUUUCUGUCAAGAUGGGGUGCUGAGUGUACAUAAAUGAGAAAUAAAAUGAACUUUUUUGAUUUCAGCAAAUGGCUGCAAUGAAACAAAGAGUGAAACAUUUAAAGGGGUCUGAAUACUUUCCGUACCCAUGGUAUAUCAGUUAAGUAUGUUGUUUAUUUACAGAACAAGACAACCAGUGGAUGCAUACUAGAUAAUCUAUCAUUCUUCAAUGACAACUGUUACCACCACCAAACAGUGAGGAGAGCAUUUCACCACUUUUUGUCAUUGACACAAUUCCAGUAUGACUUGUUACUAGUGUUAACCCUGGUGUUGGGUCUGUGGGACCCGUUUUCAUUCUUUAUUAAAGAAAAAUGAUACAAUUAAUUAAUUUUCAAACUGAGACCACUGACUUUGGCUCAUUUUCUGUGAAGAACAUAUAUCAGAAUACAUAUUUAAUGACCACACACCAUACACCCCCCCUACACAUUUCUAUUACAUAUAAGAUGUCCGGGUCCACUGGACCCGGGGCUAAUAGAAGUGUGGAAAUUGAUGUUCUGUUUACCGCACCCACCCACACCCACACCCAUACCCAUACCCACACCCACACACACACACACACACACACACACACACAGCAGGCCUAGACAGGAGGAGGACAGAGGGUCAAAUGUGCCAGAAAAUGAGAGCAGACAGUGUUGACAAACAAUGUUGCAAUGUGACCUAACAAAGGUAAAGGGCAAAUAUUAACCAUAUAUAUUGUUUAUACUGCUUGUAAUUGGGAUAAGGUAAACAUCUGUUCAGUAUUUUAACAUAAAAGUGUUUGAUUGUGAGGUAUUAAAAGCCACAAAAUGCAACGGGUCCAUCAGACCCACAAACGCUGGCUGAGUAACAACAAUAUGAACAAUACACAAGGGUUAAUGUUAUAAAGAGUUCGGUCUAGACCUGCUCUAUUUGAAAAGUGUCCUGAGAUAACUUUUGUUAUGAAUUGGUGCUAUACAAAUAAAAUUGAAUUGAAUAGUGUGUAAACCACCCAGCUGUGGUAGUUGCACAUGCAAUAGGAAACUGGCCUUUGAUGUCCCAAGAAAGAAUAAGAAUGUAAAGAAUGUAAUUAUAUUUUUACUAUCUGUACUUAUGUGUCUGUACAAAUGUUUGCCUGUAUCAAGGAUGUAAGCAGUCAAUAAAUGAUUAGUAACUUCCUUGUAUGUUGCUAGGGAAAAUUGUCCAUCUUUCUUGAAAUCACAGAUUUGUUGGUAGCAUUGACUCUAUGCCUCUCUGUUAAAUGAUGUGUGGGUCUGUCAUGCCUUUAAUAUUGUUUUUUUAGUUGGGACAACAAUUUUGUGUGUUUUAGUAGUAGGAACAUCCAAGGACCACAAUACAUUCUGCUAUCUAAAAAUGUAUUGGCUAAUUGGGUCUUGAAGAAAAUCAAACUUUUCUCAUUAAAAAAUGUUAUUAUCUGGAUAACCAGACGACAACAGAACACAACAGUCAACAACACAUCCAAUUAUUAGAACAUGUGACUGAUACUCUCUUUAUGACCAAUUCCACCAAAAAAGGCCAGAAGAGAAGCUGAGAAGCCUAAACAUCUGCUCCAGCCUGCAAACUGAAGUCAGCUCUGCCGUUGUGGAGCAGUUUAAUGGAGAACUCGCAUCUGUACGGUAUUCACUGUGCCAAAUGAAAGGGGCUCACUUUAAACAGAGUGCUGAUUGAGCUGCACAACAAAAAAAUUAACAGAAGUUUUAAGACAGUAAUGGAAGCUAUACAGAAAAUGUAAAUGGUAAAUGGACCUGUACUUGUAUAGCGCCUUUCUAGUCUUCCAACCACUCAUACAUUACGUGCCACAUUCACCCUUUCACACCCGGAGAACGAUAAUUGUUUUUAUGAAUUUUACUUUACUUUUCUUUGUUUUUUGUUGUUGAAAAUAGACAUAUCAAAAGGUAUAAAUCAAAGUAUUUAACAACAAGUAUACAAUAUCACAGUAGGAAAAGGUAAGUAUGGUAACUGGUAGGGCAUUUAUUGUAAACUCAAGUCUGAGAAUGGGUGAGGGGAAUAUGGAGCUGAAGCAGAUAGUAAGGGGCUGAGCUGAGCAGAGAGGGUCUGUGGUUGCCGAUCCAGGGUCCAAAGAGGUCCAAAACUGAAGAGGGAUAGAUGAGACAUACAUUGGUGUUAAAAAAAAAGUCA
Molecule: long non-coding RNA, 3586 nt
Organism: Dicentrarchus labrax (European seabass)
Lineage: Eukaryota; Metazoa; Chordata; Actinopteri; Moronidae
Source: Ensembl